CGGAGGAUCCAAGCGUUAUCCGGAAUUACUGGGCGUAAAGAGUUGCGUAGGUGGCAUAGAAAGCGAGUAGUGAAAGCGUGUGGCUCAACCACAUAUGCAUUAUUCGAACUACUAAGCUAGAGAGUGAGAGAGGUAGCUGGAAUUCCUAAUGUAGGGGUAAUAUCCGUUGAUAUUAGGAGGAACACCGAUGGCGUAAGCAGGCUACUGGCUCAUUUCUGACACUCAGGCACGAAAGCAUGGGGAGCAAACAGGAUUAGAUACCCUGGUAGUCCAUGCCGUAAACGAUGGAUGCUAGCUGUUAUCGGUAUCGACCCCGGUAGUAGCGAAGCUAACGCGUUAAGCAUCCCGCCUGUGGAGUACGGUCGCAAGACUA
Molecule: ribosomal RNA, 373 nt
Filed under: uncultured organism
Description: bacterial SSU rRNA
Rfam family: Bacterial small subunit ribosomal RNA
Source: RNAcentral